GUGGGGAAUAUUGGACAAUGGGCGAAAGCCUGAUCCAGCCAUGCCGCGUGUGUGAAGAAGGUCUUCGGAUUGUAAAGCACUUUAAGUUGGGAGGAAGGGCAGUAAGUUAAUACCUUGCUGUUUUGACGUUACCGACAGAAUAAGCACCGGCUAACUUCGUGCCAGCAGCCGCGGUAAUACGAAGGGUGCAAGCGUUAAUCGGAAUUACUGGGCGUAAAGCGCGCGUAGGUGGUUUUGUAAGUUGGAGGUGAAAGCCCCGGGCUCAACCUGGGAACUGCCUCCAAAACUGCAUUACUAGAGUACGGUAGAGGGUAGUGGAAUUUCCUGUGUAGCGGUGAAAUGCGUAGAUAUAGGAAGGAACACCAGUGGCGAAGGCGACUACCUGGACUGAUACUGACACUGAGGUGCGAAAGCGUGGGGAGCAAACAGGAUUAGAUACCCUAGUAGUCC
Molecule: ribosomal RNA, 450 nt
Filed under: uncultured bacterium
Lineage: Bacteria
Description: bacterial SSU rRNA
Rfam family: Bacterial small subunit ribosomal RNA
Source: RNAcentral